This 355-nucleotide ribosomal RNA is filed under the name uncultured Glomeraceae. RNAcentral's name for it is "SSU rRNA". It matches the Rfam family "Eukaryotic small subunit ribosomal RNA", at positions 569 to 929 of the family's 1831-position model. Lineage: Eukaryota; Fungi; Glomeromycota; Glomeromycetes; Glomerales; Glomeraceae. The record is from RNAcentral.
AGCAGCCGCGGUAAUUCCAGCUCCAAUAGCGUAUAUUAAAGUUGUUGCAGUUAAAAAGCUCGUAGUUGAAUUUCGGAAUCAGUAUGUCGGUCGUGCCUUCGGUAUGUACUGGUGUCACUGAUUCCUCCCUUCUGACGAACCAUCAUGCCAUUAAUUUGGUGUGGUGGGAAAUCAGGACUGUUACUUUGAAAAAAUUAGAGUGUUUAAAGCAGGCUCGCGCUUGAAUACAUUAGCAUGGAAUAAUGAAAUAGGACGUUAAUCCUAUUUUGUUGGUUUCUAGGAUCGAUGUAAUGAUUAAUAGGGAUAGUUGGGGGCAUUAGUAUUCAAUUGUCAGAGGUGAAAUUCUUGGAUUUAU